Amaranthus tricolor (Joseph's coat) is the source of this 1868-nucleotide RNA transcript. It is a transcript of the gene named calmodulin-interacting protein 111-like, with no coding region annotated. The record is from RefSeq and is a predicted model, not a curated record. The transcript is spliced from 5 exons. Lineage: Eukaryota; Viridiplantae; Streptophyta; Magnoliopsida; Caryophyllales; Amaranthaceae.
AAAGAAUAUAAGCCAACUUUUACAUUUUCAUCAAAGUUGGAUUAUGUUACACUAUUUAUUAUUUACUCCUAUGACUCAAUAGUUUACACAUUGUGCUUUAGCAAAUCACAAAUCAUUCCUAUUUUACCCUUAAUUGGCAUUUAUUUGUGGAGUUCUUACAGAGACAAGAAGUGUACCUUUAGUUUACACAGUGAACAUAGUUCGCUAGUUGGUGCGUCUUUAGAAUUUGCGAUUCGCGAGGCGAUUAGCAAACAUGUGGCAAUGGUUUAUAAUAAGAAAUAGUAUGUUUUAUGAGAGGAAGGGUUUGGCUGAUGGUGUCCAUUGGUAGUUUGAUGGAUAACUUCAGAUUAAGAGCAAUGACAUUCGUGGGGAGGUUGCCUUCUAAAACGAAUAGGAAAAGUGAGGAUUGCACGAAAGAGUUAACGUUACUGUUGUUUCUGCAGCAAACUGUCCUGACAAGAUUGAUUCUGCCCUGCAUAGACCAGUGCAUCAGAUCGUGUUGAUAUAUCCAACAUUCAUGCUUUGCUCUUCUGAUGUCAACAUAACAGAGCUAGCUCAUCUCUCUGAAGGAUGCACUGAUGCUGAUACAUCAUUAACUUGCAGAGAAGCAGCAAUCUCAGCAAUUGAAGAGAAUCUAAAUGCUUUGGAGAUAAAAAUGGAACAUUUGAAAAAUGCCAACAGCAGCUGAAUGGACCAAACACGAAACCAUCCUGGAACACGAUGAAUCGGAUCCAAGCUGCCCUUCUACCAUGGUGAAAUGAAACACAUCUUCAGACAGGUAAUUUGAUGUAAUUGUUUUGCGCUUAUCACACAUUCUUUGCAUUAUGCAUGUAUGAUCGGACAAGAUCCUCACACAUACGCACGCAUGCACGCACGCAAUUGACCCUCUCGUGUUCGUACAUGAUCGAGAUUUUCUUUGAUAUCGCCUUUUUAGGCUACGUAGCCCUUCACGGAAAAAUACAAGUUAUGGGAAGUAAAAUGUAUGACAAUUCCUCAAGGGUAGGAAACAACAGAUUUUGGACAAUUACAGAAAGAUGCAAUAGUUGUUAAGUGUCAAACCUCACUAAAUUUAUAAAGAGAUUUAAGCAAAUCAAACAUGUAUGUAAUUGUUUAGAUGCUUUAGCCUCAAAUUGUAUUUAAAAUUAUUUACUAGCUUUCUCUUUAUAUAAUUAUUCAUAUUCCAAAGUGAAAAAAAAUUAUCAUUUAAAGUUUUCAUUAAAAUUAGUUUAUACUAAAAAAAUAAUUUACGUAUAAAUAUUUUUCGUUAAAUCAAACAUAAAAAAGAAAAAAAGUUCGGUGAAGUGAAUCUUGAAAGCAUAAUUUGUACUAGAUUGGUUUGUAGGUGUAACAACUUUCUUUCAUUAAUCAAUAGUUACUAAGUACUUAGAAAUCAUACAUUAUUAUAAGAGUUUGUAAUAUGGUUUAAGUUUUAAUCAACUAGUUAUUAAUGAUCAAGAUCAAAGUUUGGUGAUGUACCCUUUUUGGCUCCCACCAAUCCUUAUCUAAUCCUUGUAUGUCAUUUAAACUUCAAGAUACCAUUAAUUAAAUGAAAUGUUAAUUAAUAAAAUUUUUAUGCAAGUAAAUUGGUUCAACUAUUCAUUUUGUAGCUAUUGGAUAGAUUAAUGUGGAAUAUUGGUUCCUCUAAAGUUCUUUUAGAAUUGGGAUUCUUGGUCUCAAUAUUACAAGAUUAUGUCACAUAAAUUAAGAUCAACACUUUAAUUUGUUUGUAAGUUUUACAUGUUGUGGAAGCGGAAGCGGAAGCGGAUAAAGAGAAUCUCUACAAAUAAAGGAUAUUAUGAAGCUAACUCACAAUUCUCUGACUUGAUAUAUGUAAUUGUUUAUUUUAUUAAAAAAAUUCAUGUAACACA